RNAcentral lists this ribosomal RNA (404 nucleotides) under uncultured prokaryote. Its description in RNAcentral is "bacterial SSU rRNA". It matches the Rfam family "Bacterial small subunit ribosomal RNA", at positions 355 to 774 of the family's 1533-position model. The record is from RNAcentral.
UGAGGAAUAUUGGGCAAUGGGCGCAAGCCUGACCCAGCAACGCCGCGUGGAGGAAGACGGCCUUCGGGUUGUAAACUCCUUUUACGGGGGAAGAGGAAGGACGGUACCCCGAGAAUAAGUCACGGCUAACUACGUGCCAGCAGCCGCGGUAAUACGUAGGUGACAAGCGUUAUCCGGAAUUACUGGGCGUAAAGCGCACGCAGGCGGCGCAUUACGUCUGACGUGAAAUCUCCUGGCUUAACUGGGAGGGGUCGUUGGAAACUGAUGUGCUUGAGGCGGUGAGAGGGGUGUAGAAUUCCCGGUGUAGUGGUGGAAUGCGUAGAUAUCGGGAGGAAUACCAGUGGCGAAAGCGACACCCUGGCACUGUGCCUGACGCUCAUGUGCGAAGGCGUGGGGAGCGAACG